AUGCCGUGAUAAGGGCAUCUACGUAGUAACACCUUGAAACUUUCCCAUGCCUCAUAUAAGGACACAUCAUCCAAUUGUUGAAAAGUGGUGAUCUCAUUUCACAACUU
RNAcentral lists this small nucleolar RNA (107 nucleotides) under Gossypium hirsutum (cotton). Its description in RNAcentral is "Plant small nucleolar RNA R71". It matches the Rfam family "Plant small nucleolar RNA R71". Rfam says of the family: R71 is a member of the C/D box family of snoRNAs containing the C (UGAUGA) and D (CUGA) box motifs. Lineage: Eukaryota; Viridiplantae; Streptophyta; Magnoliopsida; Malvales; Malvaceae. The record is from Rfam by way of RNAcentral.